This 230-nucleotide unclassified non-coding RNA is filed under the name plant metagenome. Its description in RNAcentral is "partial contains small subunit ribosomal RNA, internal transcribed spacer 1, and 5.8S ribosomal RNA". The record is from RNAcentral.
UCUCCGUAGGUGAACCUGCGGAGGGAUCAUUACCGAGCUCAUGCCCUUACGGGUAGAUCUCCCACCCUGUGUUGUUAUUACCUUUGUUGCUUUGGCGGGCCGCCAGGCUCCGGUCAGGCUAUCGGCUUCGGCUGGUAAGCGCCCGCCAGAGGACCCUAUAUCCUGAUUAUUAGUGUCGUCUGAGUACUAUAUAAUAGUUAAAACUUUCAACAACGGAUCUCUUGGUUCUG